GUGCCAGCAGCCGCGGUAAUACAGAGGGUGCAAGCGUUGUUCGGAAUUAUUGGGCGUAAAGCGCGUGUAGGCGGCUUUGCAAGUCGGGUGUGAAAGCCCUCGGCUCAACCGAGGAAGUGCGCCCGAAACUGCAGAGCUUGAGUACCGGAGAGGAUGGCGGAAUUCCCCAAGUAGAGGUGAAAUUCGUAGAUAUGGGGAGGAACACCGGUGGCGAAGGCGGCCAUCUGGACGGAUACUGACGCUGAGACGCGAAAGCGUGGGGAGCAAACAGGAUUAGAUACCCCCGUAGUCC
RNAcentral lists this ribosomal RNA (292 nucleotides) under uncultured bacterium. Its description in RNAcentral is "partial 16S ribosomal RNA". It matches the Rfam family "Bacterial small subunit ribosomal RNA", at positions 505 to 796 of the family's 1533-position model. The record is from RNAcentral.